GGUUGUAGCUCAGUGGUGGAGAACUUGCCUUCUAUGUGUGAGGCCCUGGGUUCAAUCCUCAGCACCA
This 67-nucleotide transfer RNA is filed under the name Marmota monax (woodchuck). RNAcentral describes it as "tRNA.Arg". Lineage: Eukaryota; Metazoa; Chordata; Mammalia; Rodentia; Sciuridae. The record is from RNAcentral.